RNAcentral lists this ribosomal RNA (460 nucleotides) under uncultured bacterium. RNAcentral's name for it is "partial 16S ribosomal RNA". It matches the Rfam family "Bacterial small subunit ribosomal RNA", at positions 338 to 795 of the family's 1533-position model. The record is from RNAcentral.
CCUACGGGGAGCAGCAGUGAGGAAUAUUGGUCAAUGGGCGCGAGCCUGAACCAGCCAAGUAGCGUGAAGGAUGACUGCCCUACGGGUUGUAAACUUCUUUUAUCAAGGAAUAAAGUGAGGCACGUGUGCCUUUUUGUAUGUAUUUUAUGAAUAAGGAUCGGCUAACUCCGUGCCAGCAGCCGCGGUAAUACGGAGGAUUCGAGCGUUAUCCGGAUUUAUUGGGUUUAAAGGGGGCGUAGAUGGGUUGUUAAGUCAGGUGGGAAAGUUGGAGGCUUAAACGUAACAGUGCAAUUGAUACUGGUAGCCUUGAGUGCAGGUGAGGUAGGCGGAAUGCGUGGUGUAGCGGGGAAAUGCUUAGAUAUCACGAAGAACUCCGAUUGCGAAGGCAGCCUACUAAACUGCCACUGACAUUGAUGCUCGAAAGUGUGGGUAUCAAACAGGAUUAGAUACCCGAGUAGUC